This is a non-coding RNA of Anas platyrhynchos (mallard), 2054 nucleotides long. The record is from RefSeq and is a predicted model, not a curated record. NCBI's taxonomy places the organism in Eukaryota, Metazoa, Chordata, Aves, Anseriformes, Anatidae.
ACUGGAACAAUGCAUAGAUAGUAUCACUGCCUGUAUUCUAUUCAAACUGCUAGAGUGGUGGUUUUUGUCAUAGGCUGAGAAGAGAGUGGACAGGCUGUCAAUUAAGUUUAGUUGAAAAUAAUGACGUGCAAAAUGAGUUGCCUUUUCACUCAUUUUAACAAGGGUGUCCUGCAAUAGAUGGUUUCAAGCAUUCCCUCCUCCCCUCCAAUUCCUGAAUGCCUCAGUCUCAGACUGGUAUUUCUACCUUCUGUAAUGUUUGCACAAUGCAUUUCUGUUGUAAAAGAAUCAGAUUUUCUAGCUGGAUUUCAAGGCUGUAAUGUUCAGGCUGAUCUGAACAAAAAAACAAAAAUCUGGAUGCAUCAUGGCAGAUAAAUUUCUGCUAUUGAAUGCAUCUUCUGUAGAGAACGGCAGGAACACGAAGCAGUGCAGCAGAACAUAAAAAUAAAGUUUUCUCAGUAGAGGAAUCUAACCACUUCUUGCAGAAAGUGAGGAUCCUAAAUGAAAGCUGCCAUGGUCAGCACAGAUCCAAAAUCAACAUGCCAGCAGAUGUUUUAGGCUGAGUAACUUAGAUUUUCUUUCGUUGAUAUGUAGGCGAGGGUUGGGUAUACAGAUUCUACGGCACAGAUUUUAGUUGGCCUUUAGCUGUGUAUGUAUAUAAACCCAAGUGAGCAAAUCAUCACGUUGUGUUACGAUAUUCCUUGAUGAUGUGCUGGGAACAGCACAUGGCAGUGGUGCUUUAGAAGCCCACCACAUACCUUGAUGAAACUUCUAGUAGCCUACUGAGACCAUGCACAUUCAUAGGUGUGGAGGCUCUGCAGCUGGGGCUGCUGGAGCAGUGCUCACAGUCUGUGCUCCCCCUGCCUGCCACAACCAGAUGCCUGCUCCCUCUGGCUGCCUGGACUGCCCAGCCUGGGCCCGAGUUCUCAUCAGGAAAGUGACGUGACUGGGAAAUGACUCUGAGGCUGGUGGCUGGGUCCAUGCAGGUGUGCAGGGGGAUGGCUGCCUAGCCACAGGUGAAUCAAAUGUGCAAAUUCCCCUUGCUGGCCUUUCUGAGUCUCACACCUAGCUCAUAUCCCUCAAAGAUCCCCUCCAUCUGCAAUUACAGGCAUGUCCCUGCCUUUGGUUUUUAAUACAGAUCAGUGACAGUGCUACUUAUUUGCCCUGUGCAAGGAGUGAACAAGGGUUUAAUCUGCAUCCUGACAUCAGGCUGGAGUUGGAGAGUUUAUGUAAAGCUUUUCUGCCAUCUUCGGUGCCCAUAGUUUGCAUUAUGGAUGUCAGCAUUUCACAGCAGUCAACACCGAGCCUUUGACAGCACUGAGGCACCUGGGUUCUCCAGCAAGCCAGAACAGCCAGACCUUUGCCUUCCCAUCAAUCCUGAAAACCAGUCAUACCCUCUUCUUAAUUUAAACAAAGGCUUCUGCCCUGUCCAGGCCACUUUUUCCAACUGCAGUGUGGUUAACACGUAUUUGGAAAAAUUCUGCAGCCAGCAUAUGUUUGUCUUCUCACAGUUUCAAAAAUGAUUUUGCUGGAGGAAGGAAGCCUCCCCCUUCAUUGCCCCCUCCAGCUGGAAAAUCACCUCUAAUCUUACUGUCCUUUUUCCUGCUCUGUAUCCUGCCAAUUAAAACUGGGUCCUGUUAUUAACUGCAAAUAAUGUGGCUAAGCCUUUGGUAGUUUUUCUGUUUUGUUUUGUUUGUUUUUGUUUUUUGUUUAAUAGUUUCAUUCUCAUUCUGCCCAUGAACCUGGGUUUGGCUUGUAGUUUGCAUCUCAUGAUCAGCUCAGCCCUCUCUCAUUUCAGCCUCAGUUCUUGCUUGCUCUCCGCUUUCCUCCUGCUCAGCCAGGCAUCUGCCAUGUCAUUUUGUUCCUGCUGUUUUCACAUGUGAUGGGUGUAUGGACUCAUUUCCCAUUGCACUGGACACAUUUUAAUCCUGCUGGGUACUUGGAGGGGCCUGUGUCCAUUCCCCCAUGUACUGCAUGAUGAGGACAUAUGCAUAUGCCACCUGGCUGAGCUGGAGCAUUGUUUGCUUGUUUUGGCUUUGGGGAUUUGUAUUCCUACA